UAGUGUUAUUCGUGAUGACUGGGCGUAGGGUACGUAGGCGGAUAAUCAAAAAUAUAGUAAAAGACUGAGGUUGACCCUCUUCAAGCUAUAUUCACUAGUUAUCUUGAGUUUUAAGGGCGAUAGUGAAUCCUUUAAGUAAGGGUUAAAUUGUUGAUAUUAGGAGACGUUCGAAAGCGAAAGCAAUGAUCGACUUAAAUCUGACGCUAGGUACUAAAGCAUGGGUAUGAAAAGGAUUAGAGACCUUGUAGUCCAUGCUGUAAACUAUGAGUGUUCAACAUCUUUUUGUGGUCUGGUUUUCUGCUUUUGUUCUUUUUACGAAAUGACAUGAAACAGAAGACAUGAAAGGGGGUUUGAAGCUAACGCGUGAAACACCGCCUGGGGAAUGUGGCCGCAAGGUUAAACUCAAAGGAAUUGACGGAGACUUGUACAAGGGGUGGAGAUGUGGUUUAAUUCGAG
RNAcentral lists this ribosomal RNA (456 nucleotides) under Didymium squamulosum. RNAcentral's name for it is "SSU rRNA". It matches the Rfam family "Bacterial small subunit ribosomal RNA", at positions 536 to 955 of the family's 1533-position model. The record is from RNAcentral. Lineage: Eukaryota; Evosea; Eumycetozoa; Physariida; Didymiaceae.